Molecule: RNA transcript, 1527 nt
Organism: Cloeon dipterum
Lineage: Eukaryota; Metazoa; Arthropoda; Insecta; Ephemeroptera; Baetidae
Exons: 4
Source: RefSeq, a predicted model, not a curated record
CUCUUAGCGGGAACGGGUUCGGCCCAUAAGAGUGGUAGCCCCCUGGUUGCGACUCACAACCACAACACAACAGACUCAAACGCGAUAAUAUUAUUUCUCGCCGCUUCGAGAGACUGCCUGGCUGCCGCUUUAACUAAAUUUCCAAAUUUUUUUUAAUGUGACUUAUUUUCCAAUAAUUGCGAUUUAAAAAAUUUACAACGUUUCAUCGUGACCUCAACUCGAACAGUGAGCACAGUGAGUGGUUUUAAUCAGAAUAUCAAAAUUGACCCAGCACCAGUCGAUUUUUGUUGUCUCAUCAAUGGACAAUAAAUGGAAUAAUCCAAUAAAAAAGGGUAUUAACAAAGGAGCUAAAGAAUCAACGAAAGCACAUCAGCUUUGCGCAUUCCCUCAACAAAACCUCAAAUUUUCAUUGGCCCGCUGGAAGCACGUGGCAGGGCAAUCUUCGCUCCUCUUGAAUACUCUAUUUGCACAGUUAUGCAUACGACGUCACUCCAGCCGAAAUAUGUUGGACACACAUCCAUUUUAAGAGAGCGAAUGGAGACUGGAGGGAAGUUGCAGCUGGUGCUGCUCUCGAUUUGCCUUCAGAUCUUCACGUGUUCCUGCUCCUCCCUCACUUUUCAAAACAGGGGACUCAACAGCUGGGAACUUCUGAUCGGAGCUAAUGCUGGUAAAAGAAAAUGAAUUCCUGUACGACUUCUGCCGGUACGAUGCAUCAGAAAACAUCGAACGGUGCAAGAAUAAUCCAAGAGCGACUGUUGACAUCAGAUCAACAUGCAAUUGCACUUUGAAUCACACCGAAAACGCAAAGGAGGGCUCUGCACACUUCGCCGUGAACUGCAACAAUCAAACAGUUGACGACUUGAUAGGUGGCUGUCCACCAAAACUGACCAUCAUUUACGAGCAGGGCGACGUGCGUCAUGCAAUUACAAACGUGGAAACAUGCAGCGGCUGUGUAAUCUGGAUCGUACUUUUUGUCCUGUCACUCGUGAUCAGCGUGGUCUUUGGCGUCUUAUUAUUCAUGCUUAGAAACAGAACGUAAUGUCUGAAUAGGAAAUAUUAAGGGAGUAGUUGAUCAUAAGUACUUACCUAGAUAUAUUUCUAAACCCAAUUUUCUCUAGAGUAUUCCGGAAUAAUUUUAGAACAUUCUAAAAGAUCAACCAUUAAAAAGUAUUCCUUGAAGAAAAUUAAGAAUGAUCUUUUGGAAUGUCCAAGAAUAAUUCAGAAUUGAUGCGCAAUGUUUAAAAUUUGGGUUGAUUGAGCUUAACAUUCCAAGAACGUUUCCUAGUAUAUAUAUUUUAGUAUUAUUCGAGGUGGAAGCAAACUAAAAAUAUACAUAAAUCGUUCCUGUGAUAGUGUCGCUUCUUCGGCCUGAUCUGUCCCUACGUGUGCCUGUGAAACUUAAACCACCGUUUUAUGUACAAAAUUGGCCGAAAUUUGUGACCAAUUUCACAAUCGCGAUUCUUAUUUUGUCUGUGUUAUAGUCACUUUGAGAAAUAAACCAAACUGAUAUUUUUUCCUAAUCUCAAA